Molecule: transfer RNA, 73 nt
Filed under: Phycisphaerae bacterium
Lineage: Bacteria; Pseudomonadati; Planctomycetota; Phycisphaerae
Also listed under: 4 other names
Description: tRNA-Phe
Rfam family: tRNA
About the family: Transfer RNA (tRNA) molecules are approximately 80 nucleotides in length.
Source: RNAcentral
GGGCAGGUAGCUCAGUUGGUAGAGCAACGGACUGAAAAUCCGUGUGUCGGCGGUUCAAUUCCGCCCCUGCCCA